CCCGAGGAAAAGAAAUCAACCGAGAUUCCCCCAGUAGCGGCGAGCGAACGGGGAGGAGCCCAGAGCCUGAAUCAGUGUGUGUGUUAGUGGAAGCGUCUGGAAAGGCGCGCGAUACAGGGUGACAGCCCCGUACACAAAAAUGCACAUGCUGUGAGCUCGAUGAGUAGGGCGGGACACGUGGUAUCCUGUCUGAAUAUGGGGGGACCAUCCUCCAAGGCUAAAUACUCCUGACUGACCGAUAGUGAACCAGUACCGUGAGGGAAAGGCGAAAAGAACCCCGGCGAGGGGAGUGAAAAAGAACCUGAAACCGUGUACGUACAAGCAGUGGGAGCCUCUUAAUGGGGUGACUGCGUACCUUUUGUAUAAUGGGUCAGCGACUUAUAUUCUGUAGCAAGGUUAACCGAAUAGGGGAGCCGAAGGGAAACCGAGUCUUAACUGGGCGUUAAGUUGCAGGGUAUAGACCCGAAACCCGGUGAUCUAGCCAUGGGCAGGUUGAAGGUUGGGUAACACUAACUGGAGGACCGAACCGACUAAUGUUGAAAAAUUAGCGGAUGACUUGUGGCUGGGGGUGAAAGGCCAAUCAAACCGGGAGAUAGCUGGUUCUCCCCGAAAGCUAUUUAGGUAGCGCCUCGUGAAUUCAUCUCCGGGGGUAGAGCACUGUUUCGGCAAGGGGGUCAUCCCGACUUACCAACCCGAUGCAAACUGCGAAUACCGGAGAAUGUUAUCACGGGAGACACACGGCGGGUGCUAACGUCCGUCGUGAAGAGGGAAACAACCCAGACCGCCAGCUAAGGUCCCAAAGUCAUGGUUAAGUGGGAAACGAUGUGGGAAGGCCCAGACAGCCAGGAUGUUGGCUUAGAAGCAGCCAUCAUUUAAAGAAAGCGUAAUAGCUCACUGGUCGAGUCGGCCUGCGCGGAAGAUGUAACGGGGCUAAACCAUGCACCGAAGCUGCGGCAGCGACACUAUGUGUUGUUGGGUAGGGGAGCGUUCUGUAAGCCUGUGAAGGUGGCCUGUGAGGGUUGCUGGAGGUAUCAGAAGUGCGAAUGCUGACAUAAGUAACGAUAAAGCGGGUGAAAAGCCCGCUCGCCGGAAGACCAAGGGUUCCUGUCCAACGUUAAUCGGGGCAGGGUGAGUCGACCCCUAAGGCGAGGCCGAAAGGCGUAGUCGAUGGGAAACAGGUUAAUAUUCCUGUACUUGGUGUUACUGCGAAGGGGGGACGGAGAAGGCUAUGUUGGCCGGGCGACGGUUGUCCCGGUUUAAGCGUGUAGGCUGGUUUUCCAGGCAAAUCCGGAAAACCAAGGCUGAGGCGUGAUGACGAGGCACUACGGUGCUGAAGUGACAAAUGCCCUGCUUCCAGGAAAAGCCUCUAAGCAUCAGGUAACAUCAAAUCGUACCCCAAACCGACACAGGUGGUCAGGUAGAGAAUACCAAGGCGCUUGAGAGAACUCGGGUGAAGGAACUAGGCAAAAUGGUGCCGUAACUUCGGGAGAAGGCACGCUGAUAUGUAGGUGAAGCGACUUGCUCGUGGAGCUGAAAUCAGUCGAAGAUACCAGCUGGCUGCAACUGUUUAUUAAAAACACAGCACUGUGCAAACACGAAAGUGGACGUAUACGGUGUGACGCCUGCCCGGUGCCGGAAGGUUAAUUGAUGGGGUUAGCGGUAACGCGAAGCUCUUGAUCGAAGCCCCGGUAAACGGCGGCCGUAACUAUAACGGUCCUAAGGUAGCGAAAUUCCUUGUCGGGUAAGUUCCGACCUGCACGAAUGGCGUAAUGAUGGCCAGGCUGUCUCCACCCGAGACUCAGUGAAAUUGAACUCGCUGUGAAGAUGCAGUGUACCCGCGGCAAGACGGAAAGACCCCGUGAACCUUUACUAUAGCUUGACACUGAACAUUGAGCCUUGAUGUGUAGGAUAGGUGGGAGGCUUUGAAGUGUGGACGCCAGUCUGCAUGGAGCCGACCUUGAAAUACCACCCUUUAAUGUUUGAUGUUCUAACGUUGGCCCCUAAUCGGGGUUGCGGACAGUGUCUGGUGGGUAGUUUGACUGGGGCGGUCUCCUCCUAAAGAGUAACGGAGGAGCACGAAGGUUGGCUAAUCCUGGUCGGACAUCAGGAGGUUAGUGCAAUGGCAUAAGCCAGCUUGACUGCGAGCGUGACGGCGCGAGCAGGUGCGAAAGCAGGUCAUAGUGAUCCGGUGGUUCUGAAUGGAAGGGCCAUCGCUCAACGGAUAAAAGGUACUCCGGGGAUAACAGGCUGAUACCGCCCAAGAGUUCAUAUCGACGGCGGUGUUUGGCACCUCGAUGUCGGCUCAUCACAUCCUGGGGCUGAAGUAGGUCCCAAGGGUAUGGCUGUUCGCCAUUUAAAGUGGUACGCGAGCUGGGUUUAGAACGUCGUGAGACAGUUCGGUCCCUAUCUGCCGUGGGCGCUGGAGAACUGAGGGGGGCUGCUCCUAGUACGAGAGGACCGGAGUGGACGCAUCACUGGUGUUCGGGUUGUCAUGCCAAUGGCACUGCCCGGUAGCUAAAUGCGGAAGAGAUAAGUGCUGAAAGCAUCUAAGCACGAAACUUGCCCCGAGAUGAGUUCUCCCUGAGACUUAGAGUCUCCUGAAGGAACGUUGAAGACGACGACGUUGAUAGGCCGGGUGUGUAAGCGCAGCGAUGCGUUGAGCUAACCGGUACUAAUGAACCGUGAGGCUUAACCUUACAACGCCGAAG
This 2708-nucleotide ribosomal RNA is filed under the name Escherichia coli. RNAcentral describes it as "partial 23S ribosomal RNA". It matches the Rfam family "Bacterial large subunit ribosomal RNA". Lineage: Bacteria; Pseudomonadati; Pseudomonadota; Gammaproteobacteria; Enterobacterales; Enterobacteriaceae. The record is from RNAcentral.